This 424-nucleotide ribosomal RNA is filed under the name uncultured bacterium. RNAcentral's name for it is "bacterial SSU rRNA". It matches the Rfam family "Bacterial small subunit ribosomal RNA", at positions 917 to 1344 of the family's 1533-position model. The record is from RNAcentral.
GGGCCCGCACAAGCGGUGGAGCAUGUGGUUUAAUUCGAUGAUACGCGAGGAACCUUACCAGGGCUUAAAUGUAGUCUGACGUACUUGGAAACAGGUAUUUCUUCGGACAGAUUACAAGGUGCUGCAUGGUUGUCGUCAGCUCGUGCCGUGAGGUGUCAGGUUAAGUCCUAUAACGAGCGCAACCCCUGUGGUUAGUUGCCAGCGAGUGAAGUCGGGAACUCUAGCCAGACUGCCGGUGCAAACCGUGAGGAAGGUGGGGAUGACGUCAAAUCAUCACGGCCCUUACGUCCUGGGCCACACACGUGCUACAAUGGUAGGGACAACGAGUCGCGAACCCGCGAGGGUAAGCUAAUCUUCAAACCCCAUCUCAGUUCGGAUCGGAGUCUGCAACUCGACUCCGUGAAGUUGGAAUCGCUAGUAAUCG